GACGUAGGGGGCGAGCGUUGUCCGAAUUCAAUGGACGUAAAGAGCGCGUAGGCGGACUUUUAAGUUGGGGGUGAAAUGCCGAGGCUCAACCUCGUAACUGCCUCCAAAACUGGGAGUCUUGAGGUAUGGAGAGGGAAGUGGAAUUCCAGGUGUAGCGGUGAUAUGCGUAGAUAUCUGGAGGAACACCCGUGGCGAAGGCGGCUUCCUGGUCAUAUCCUGACGCUGAGGUGCGUAAGCCAGGGGAGCGAACGGG
Molecule: ribosomal RNA, 253 nt
Filed under: uncultured bacterium
Lineage: Bacteria
Description: partial 16S ribosomal RNA
Rfam family: Bacterial small subunit ribosomal RNA
Source: RNAcentral